Molecule: long non-coding RNA, 896 nt
Filed under: Malus domestica (apple)
Lineage: Eukaryota; Viridiplantae; Streptophyta; Magnoliopsida; Rosales; Rosaceae
Description: long non-coding RNA (MDOM_LNC018940)
Source: RNAcentral
GGUCUCGGUAUCAAUCAGGUUUACGUCUGCUAUCUCCUCGACGAUUCUAGCCCACAAUCCAAUCCACCCAGCAGCUAUGUCCACAAAGCCAACGGUUUCUCCUCCGAAGAAGUCCUUUCCAGCAAGGGCACUUUCCAACGUCUUAAGGUUCUCUCGCGCUUCUUUUGCCGCCUUCUCUUUCUCCUCCCCUUGGUUGGUGAAUGCACUCAUAAUUGCCGGCACACACUGAAACAAACAACAACAAAUGGUCCGUUUGAAUGCUAAUUCACCCAGUUGGUGCUUGUGAAUAUUAUGAAUGAAAGAUUAUUACUUGUUGAUCAAGAUAGCUCAUUCAAUUACCUUUUCAUCGAUGAAUCUGGCCCAGAAGCGUGCCUGUGCCCUUUCGUAGGGAUCUUGCGGCAGGAUCGGAUUGUGCUUCCACGUCUCAUCGAUGUAUUCGAGUAUAAUGAGCGAUUCCGCGACCGGCUUGCCGUCGUGCACAAGAACGGGUACUUUUUUGUGGACGGGGUUGUAACGGAGGAGCAAGGGGCUCUUGUUUGGGAGGUCCUCUUCAACAUACUGGUACUCAAUCUCUUUGAGUUUCAAAGCCCAUUUUACUCUGAGAGCAAAAGGACUUGCCCAGUACCCAAGCAAUUUCACUGAUUCUCCAGACAUUGUUCCAGUUUUGUGGCAUCAUAUUCCCAAUUCCGCAUGCCAAUUUAUAGACAGAGUUCAAUGAUUUCUUCUUUUAUCUUUUGUGACGUCAUUGCUGAUGUCACGUAAGCCAAUGAUUGAGUUUUCUUUUUUGUUUUAUUUUUAUUUUUAUUUUCCUUCUUUUUUGACCAGACGAAUUUUCUUGCAGUUAAAACUUUGAGUUUGACCUGCAACGUUUGAGAUGGAGACGGCUUUGACUUGUC